This 12604-nucleotide long non-coding RNA is filed under the name Citrus sinensis (sweet orange). RNAcentral describes it as "long non-coding RNA (CSIN_LNC001344)". The record is from RNAcentral. Lineage: Eukaryota; Viridiplantae; Streptophyta; Magnoliopsida; Sapindales; Rutaceae.
AAUGAAGGUGUGUGGGAGCAAAGCAAUGACACAAGUGGUGGUAAGUGAGGAAGAUGGAGCAGAAGAUGAAAUUGUUUUCAGCAAAUUGAAGACAUUGUCUCUGCUUGAUUUAGAUAGCCUCACAAGUUUCUACUCUGGCAAUUACACCUUCAAAUUCCCAUCUCUACAAGAUUUAGAAGUGAUUGGUUGUCCCAAGAUGAAGAUUUUCACCACAGGAGAAUUAUGCACACCGCCGAGAGUAAAUGUCUGGUAUGGAGAGGGAGAUGGUGAAUGUCGUUGGGCUAAUGACCUUAACGUUACGAUACAAGAGUUGCAUGCUGAAAAGGUACGGUUAACCCACCAACUUAACUCCCAAGGAAAAAUUUUACAAAUUUGCACUUUUUAACAAAAUUUAGAAAAUAGAUCAUGGACAACCAAGUUUGACUCAUUAGAAUAUUUAUUAUUGAGUAAGUGCAUGAUCGGGUUUGAAAAAGUAUGAGACACUUCUGUAUGUAGUUCUUGAAACUGUCCAAUUUAAAACAGACAUAUUCAAUUCUCAAAAAAUCAUGAAUCAUUAGUUUUAACUUCAUAAUAUAAAAGUCGUGUCAAAUUAAUGAAUGAGAAUUUUGUUUUCAGAUGUUGGAGGGGUCGUCAUCUAACUUGAGGAAGUACGAUUGGUGAUCAUGUUGGCUUUUUAAUUUAUUACUUGGAGUUGUGAAUUUGAAGAAUAAAGUCCCAGGUAAAUAAUUUAAUUUCCCUUAUUUGAUCUCAUAGCUUGUUUCAUCGGUUCACCUGAACUAUUUAGAUUGCGUCACUGGUUUAUUGUUAACUUUAAAAUGAAGUUUUAAUGUUUCAUUCGGGGCUUUAUGAGCAAAUUUUACAUCAUUGAAUGUCCUUUGGUCUGAACUUUUGAGCUUUUUGUUUGAUAGUCAAGGCUUUAUAGUAUGCUAUUUAUAAUUCCUUAAGAAUGUGCAAAAUUUUUUAUGAUAAAAUUGCUUGAAUAUGUCAUUGAAAGGAACUUCUAUGUUGCUCUUUAUGAUUACAGAGUUCUCAAUGUUAUCACUCUUCUUUUGCAGGAUGUGGAAUCAAAGAUACUUUUCUAUGAAAUUUGUGUUCCUUGUAUUAAAAGUUUACAUGCUGAAGGGCUUCCUGUGUUAUCUUUGCUGUUCUACUUGUGCUUUACUUCAUUGUGUCGCUACAGCUUUGUGAGUGUUAUGUUAACUAUUGUUUCCUUCAUUUGGGCAUUGUAAGUUUCGAAGGCGCUACAUUGCUUGACUAAAGAUGCUUAAAUUUAUCAUCUGUUUGUACCCCUUGUAUUAUAUACAAUAAAUUUUUGAUGUAUUUUGACAUUUAAUACGAGAUAUGUUUGAAUUUUCAUUGAAAGGUUUCAUAAUUGUUCAAAUUUAUCUUCAGUUUUAUUUUUGUUAUCUUGUUGGAACCAAAUUGACAACCAAGAUCAAUUUGGAACACCCAAGAUCCACUCUAAGAAACUUGAUCUUAACUAGGUCUGAUACUAGACUGAGUUUAAGAAGAAAUUUGCCUAGGUAAGUGGAAUCAAACACAACUCAAGGAACAAAAGCAGAAAAGAAAGAAAACAGAUCUCACACACAGCACCAAGAUUUAUAGUGGUUCGGCCAUUUUCUUGCCUAUAUCCACUGUGAAAAGAGAAGCAAGCUUUCACUGAUUUCAGAGAUUACAAGUCACAGAGAUGAAGAGUAUGUGUAACAGAAUCGAAACCCCUCAGUAACAGAUCAUAGAGCCUUUUACAUUUCAAUCAAAACCCUCUAAAAGGACCCCAAACAAUCAGCUCACGCUCCUGGGUUUCUCAGCUAAGCAAUCCCAGCUGCAUCUGCAUCCCGCGUGAAUUAACUGAAUUAACAGCUUCUGGAACUGCUCAGGGACACUUGUCAAAUGCUCGUAUAAUUUGCUACUUCAAAAACCGACAUGACAUCACUUCCUUCCCCAAGCAUCAGACACGUCAUACACAUUCCCGAAUCCAGAUUUGAGCUUCCCCUCUUCAGCAUAUCUCAAAUACAUGUUAGGCCUUGCAUGCAUAGACGCACGUAAUAUCCCAGAAGAGUUUUAUCAGAUGAUUUUACUAUCAUCGUUGUUGUUGCUGCUCCCGCCGCCGCCAUUAUUACUAUUAUUAUACUACUACUUGAAAAUUUCAAGUAUUUUAGAUGAGAAAUUUAUUAUGUUAGAGAUAUUCAUAAUAUACAUGAUGCUGAAAUCAGGGAAUUUGUUGUCUCAGUUUGUUUUAUUUUUGUUUGCCUCGAAUCAAAUUUUGAAAUUUAAGAACUAUGGUAAGAGAUGGAACAAGAGGAGUUAAAAAAUUUGCCAAAAUUGAUGUAGCAAUGAAACAAUUGUAUCCUAACAUGUUUAGCAUCAUUCUACUUUAUGAUCAUUGUUGUUCCGUUAUUUUAGUUCUUGCUCUGUUUGUUCUGUUUCUCUGUUUAUUUCACUGGGGGUUUGCUUCACAAAAUCUUACUUUCAAAAUUUAGAAGGCAAGGAAAGAGCGCUUCGAAAAUGCAAGAGGUAUCAAAUCAUGCAUUAAAAAACUUGUUGGCUGCUGGCUGGUCUAUUUCAUUGGCACCGAUCGAAUCAUUAUCCCUAAAAUAAUUAGGAGUCGGAGAUAUAAGUGUGAAAAUAACAGGAUCAUUUACAACAUGGAAAUCAGUCGCCAUUGGUAGGUGGCGCUGCAUAUGAUAAUAACAACUGAUUGAUACCAACAAAGUGUUGGCUCCACUGGUAAUGGAGUCCCCUUAAGUGGCUUGACUGGAUUUGCUCCCCAGUUCGAGUCGCAGGGAAGUCGCCUUUGUUGGGAGAAUCUGUGCCUCCCGGUUCGAGCGGAGACUUCUAGUCUGGGUUGUGGUACGGGCUUAAAGGUGCCUCCCACAGUUGGGGCCCUCCCCAGGAUACCUCGUGAUUAAUAUAAAAAAAAAAAAACAACUGAUUGAUGAAAUUAAUGCCAUCAAUCUGCCUGUUAAUGUUGUUGACGCGUGUCAAAUUUUCAUGCAUAUUAGAAUUUAUUAGUGAGGUUGCAUUAUGGUCCAUAUCGUCAAUAACUUUAGCAGUCAAAUUUUACGCCACUGGAGUCAAAUUUUCAUGCAUAAAGCUGUUGGCUGGUCUGUUUGGCUCUACAAUGAUUUAUCUUUUCGACUUAAAAUGAUUCCAAAAAGCCAUCAGCAAUCUCUAGUGCAACUCUUCAAAAAAAAAAAUUAAAAUAAAAAUAAAAGUCUCAAAAAGUAUCAUUAAUUUAAUUCUAUUGUUUCCGGGUAAUCAGAACGUGUUUGAUAAAUAUUUAUAAGUUACAGUUUGAAAAUUAAAUAGAUUUUAUUUAACAAAAAGAUAUUGUUGACGCGUGUCAAAUUUUCAUGCAUAUUAGAAUUUAUUAGUGAGGUUGCAUUAUGGUCCAUAUCGUCAAUAACUUUAGCAGUCAAAUUUUACGCCACCGGAGUCAAGUGAUUUUUAAGCAGUUUUAUUCAACUGGUUACCUGAGUUCGAAUCUUAAAGAGAUAAAUAGUUAAAAAUGAAUUUAGACUUUGCCUACUCCUUUAAUAAAAAAAGAAGGUCAUUUAGUCUUAACUUUUGAAAUUUUUAUUUGACAUUUCGGCUUUAUAGCAUGCGAUGUAUUUUCUUAAAUUUUAUAAUUCCUUGAGAAUGUGCAAACAUUUUAUGAUAAAAUUACUUAAAAAUGUCGUUGAAACGAACUGAACUUUUUAUGUUGAAAGAAAGCCUUAUUAUUUUUCUGUACUUCUAUGUAAUGCUUUAUGGUUACAAAAUUCUCAUUGUUAUCACUCUUCUUGUGCAAGAUCUGUAAUGAAAGAUACUUUUCUGUCAAAUUUGUGUUCCUGAUAUUAAAAGUUCACAUGCUGGGGGGCUUCCUAUUUCAUCUUUGUCAUUCUACUUGUGCUUUGCUUCAUUGUGUAGCUACAGCAUUAUAAGCGUUACCAUAACUUAUCUGCAGCAAUUUUAUAAUUUACUAUUAUUGUGGUUGUUGCUGCUAUCAUUGUUCUACUAGUUGGAAAAUUCGAAUUCUUUUAGACGUGACAUUUAUCAUAUUAGAUAUUCAAGGUAUACAUACAUGCAUAUAUAUAUAUAUAUAUAUACUGGGUAUCUGUUUAGAUAUGAUGCAGAGAAAUGACAGAAGUUGUAUUAAGUGACGAAGAUUGAGCAGCAAAACAAGAGAUAGUUUUCAGCAAAUUAAAGACGUUGGCUCUGUUUGAUUUAGUUAGACUCACAAGUUUCUGCUCUGGCAAUUGCACUUUCAAAUUCCCAUCCUUGCAAGAUUUAACUGUGAUUGACUGUCCCAAGAUGAAGAAUUUUACUAGAGGAGAAUUAUGGAUGCCAUCUGGUACGGAGAGAGAGAAGAUGAAAGCCGUUGGGCUAAUGACCUUAACACAACCAUACAACAACUACAUGCAGAAACGGUAUGAUUAAUUCACUAUUCUAUCUCCAAUGGAAAAGUUUUACAAAAUUUGCAAUUUUUUAACAAAACGUAGAAAACUGAUCAUUGACAAGUUAGUUUGAUUCAUUAGAAUAUUCGCUAUUACUUUUGUAUUUAAUUCAUCAAACUGUCCUAUUUAAUAUUGACAUUUUCACAAAAGUUAGAUAAUGUUUUUCAAUUCUCACAAAUUCGUUAAUAAUUAGUUUUAAUUUCAUAAUAUGAAAAUCUUGUCAAAGAAAUUGUGUUAUUAAACUUAUUAAAUCUCUCGCUAGUGGCUUCCUUCCUAAUCUCCAUGUGCUUUAGUAUUUAUUUCCAAGUGCCUAAUUUUACAACUUUUAAUUUAGAUUAAUGAAUGACAAUUCUUAUUUUUUCAGCUGUUGGAGGGGCUUUCAUCUUAGUCGACUUUAUACAAGUAAUCUGAUCAAAUACAUUUUAGUACUUGGAUAAGAUGUGGAUUUGAAGACUAAAGAUCGCAGGUAACUAAUUUUAUUACUUAUGUACUUUUCUCAUGGUUUUGUUUCAUCGUUUCAUCUAAACUCUUUGGAAUGCAUUAAUUUUGUUUAUUGUUAAUUUGGAACGAAGUUUUAACGUAUCAUUCAGGGAUUUUGUUUGCAUCAUUGAGGGUUGUUUGGCCUUAACUUCUGAGGUUUUUGACAUUCAGCUUUAUAUUGUGCUAUUUUUUGUAAUUUUAUAACUUCUUGAAAGCAUGCAUAUAUUUUUUUUCUUAUCAUGAUGCCUCGAAAAUGUCAUUAGAAGGGACAGCAGUUUUCUUUUUCUUAUUUAUUUUCAAGUAUCUACGUUUGCGAAUUUUAGUUCAACUUGUUGAAUGGGAAUUUUGUUUUCAGCUACGUACAAGACGAUGCCGCUGCUGCUGCCAUUGUUACUGUCAUAGUUACUAUUACUCGAAAAUUUCAAGUAAUUUAGUUGUGAAAUUCAUUAUGUUAGAGAUAUUCAAAAUAUAUAUGAUGCUGAAAGAAAAGAGUGGACUUGUUGUCUCAGUUUGUCUCAUUUUGUUUUCUCCAACUCUAAUUUUCAAAUUUUAGAAAUAUGGUAAGAGAAGGAACAAAAUGAGUAAAAAAAUUGUCAAAAUAGUUGUAGCUAUGAACAAUUAUAUCCAAACACAUUUAGCAUCAAUCUACUUUGCCAAAUUUUUUAGUCAUCGUCUUUGCUCGGUUGUUUUAGUUUUUGCCCUGUUUGUUCUCUUUAUUUUGAUUGAGUUUGCUUUACAAAGUCUAUCUUUCAAAACUUAGAAGGCGAGGAAAGAGCGGGUAGGAAAUGCAAAAGGUAUCAAAUCAUGCAUAUGGUCAAAUGCUCCUGUAUAUGAACACAUAAAGAACAAUUGAAAUAUCAUUCACCGGAUAACACAAACAAAUAAAAAAAAAAAAAAAAAGAAGAAAGAGAGAAAAUCUAAUCGUCUCAUUAUCCCGAACACAAAUAAUUAAACCAUCAAAUGUUUGCAAUGAGCACAAUCAGAUCAUCUCUUUGGAAUAAUUACAUGUUGGCUUGGCCUAUUUUUUGGCCGGUAAAAAGGUUUUUGGCUGGAGCAUUUGGCCUUAACUUUUUUUUUUUUUUGAGUCUAUAUCAAUUGAUGCCACUAUGUCAAUAAUAAUUGGUAGGAAAUAAAUUAAUAUGUAACUAUAUCUUCUUAAUUAAUUAUUUGUUUUUUUAUCCAUUUACAUUGGAAAAAAGGGGUGCAGGGUCAGGAAGCUUCUUAGACGUGGCACGUUCAAAAGCUUUUUUUUUUUUUUGUCUGAACCACAUGGUCCUGAGUAGGCCCUAACUGUGGGAGAUACCUUUAAGCUCAUACCACAAUCCAAACUAAUCUCCACUCGCACCAGGUCGGCCCGUAAGGGAUAAAGUACUGGCUAAAGUGGUGACUCCAUAUAAGAGCGGGGCUUGAACCUCUGACCUCUCUUAAGAAGUGAGAGUGCCGAACCACUCUGUUCAAAAGCUUUUCUUUUUUAAAAGCUGCGUCAAGCAUGACACGUCAACAUCAUUUACAAGUGGGAACAACUCUUUUUCAUAAAAGAAAAGCCUUUUUUGUUUUAAAAUAAAGUUUUUUUGGAUGAUUCACUAUUACUAAUUGCCCAAGUCAUUCUAUUGCGAAUACAUGCAAAUUAAUAAAGAGACUUGUGGGGUUGCUGGAUAGAAAUUGUUGAAUACAUACAAAUUAUUGAACAGAAAUCCAAUAAUUGAACACCGGCCAAUUCUUGUCCAAUCAAAUUAAAACUCAAUUAAUAUAUUCCACUAAAUUUUUCGUACAACAUCCUAUUCAGAUGAAUAAAAUGUAAAAAAUAAAAUAUAUAAUUCAAAAAAUUAUAAAGGAUGCAAUUUAGCAGGUCAUACAAUAUACCAAAAAAAGUCUUGGGGGUGCAGUGGGAAUAUUUCUUGACAGAAAGAGUCUUAAAAAUUUUUUCGCCAGAAAACAUUUUCUCUCUCUGAUCUCUGUAUUCUUCAGAUCCUCCUCCUUGCUUGAACGUCUGUAACUUUGUCAUCCAUGAUUUGCAUUCAAUUCUUGACGAAAAAACCUUUUUCCGGAUUUUCAUCUUUUGAUCUCAAACAUGCUUUGCUUCUGUUGAUUGUGGUCGCUUCUAGUGCUAGUUCUCUUCUUAUAUAGCUUUGUUCCCUUUUGCCAUCAGCUCUUUGCAUUUCCUUGGAUGAAGAAACCUUUUUCUUGUUUCAAUUUUCUGAUCUCAAAAGCACUUUGAUUCUAGUCUGCCACACUGAUUUUGUCCUUGUUUUGUACAAACAUAAUUUCGCCAUUAUCUGUUUGAUUAUCAAUUGACCCGUCGUUGACUCUAUUCUAUUUCUAUGUGAAAAAUACGAAAAAAAAAAAAAAGAGAUUGAAGAUGGUGGAAAGCAUUGUUACUGUUGUUUUAGAAGUUGUGAAAUGCUUGGCUCCUCCGACACAACGCCAACUUGAUUACUUGCGAAACUACAAUGAAAACAUUCAGAAACUCGAGGCAGAAACCGAGAGCCUGAAGGUUGAAAUUAGGAGCAUUGAGCGCAGAGUUUUUGGGGCCGAAAAACAAGGAGAAAAGAGUGAAGAGAAAGUCGAGAAGUGGUUGGUUAGCGCCAACAAGAUCAUUGAUGAGGUGAAUGCCAAAUUCAUGGGAGAUGAAGAGACUGCAAAUAAGCGAUGUCUCAAGGGGCUGUGUCCUAAUUUGAAGGCUCGCUAUCAGCUUAGCAAGAAAGCAGAGACACAGGUGAAGGCCCUUGUUGAGUGCCGAGAAGAAGCCGGUCGACUUGAUAGAAUUUCCUACCUUACCUAUCCGGACAAGAUAUGGCUCAAGUCCCACAAAGGUUACGAGGCCUUUGGAUCAAGGCUUUCUACUUUGAAGUGUAUACAAAACGCUUUGACAGAUGUUAAUGUCAGCAUCGUUGGAGUGUACGGCAUGGGCGGCGUUGGAAAGACGACUCUAGCGAAGGAGAUCGUUAGGCAAGCCUUGGCAGACAAGCUCUUUGAUCAAAUAGCCUUUUCAGAGGUUUCCGAAACUGCAGACAUAAAAAAGAUUCAGCGGGAUAUUGCUGAGGACUUGGGUCUCGCAUGGCAUGAGGAAACUGAAUCUAGAACUGCGAGUAGACUGUAUGAACAGUUGAAGAAUGAGAAGAAGAUUCUUGUGGUUCUAGAUAACAUAUGGAAGCAUCUUGAUUUGGAGACUGUUGGAAUUCCUUUUGGUGAUGAUUAUAGAGGUUGUAAACUCUUGCUGAUAGCAAGAGAUCGUAAUGUUUUGUUGGAUAUGGAUUCUAAACAUAACUUCUUUAUUGACAACUUAAAUGAAGAAGAAGCUUGGAGAUUGUUUAAGACGAUGGCGGGUGAUUAUGUUGAAAAUCGUCAGCUGAAAUCUACAGCAACAGAUGUAGCCAAGGGAUGUGGAGGCUUGCCUAUUGCCUUAGCUACAACAGCAAGGGCAAUGAGAGACAAGACUGUGCAUGAAUGGAAGAAUGCCUUGCGAGAACUUCAGACGCCUUCAGUGAUGAACUUCGAAGGACUGCCGGCAGAUACUUAUGCAAGAAUCGAGCUGAGUUUCAAGUAUUUAAAAGGUGAGCAGCUCAAGAAAAUUUUUCUGCUUUGUAGUCUAAUGGGUAAUCCUAUUUUUACUUCAGACCUGUUUAAAUACUCCAUGGGUUUGGGUAUACUCCAAGGAGUCAAGAAGAUGGAAGAUGCACGAAACCAAUUAUAUGCAUUGGCCUAUAAACUUAAAGACGCUUGUUUGUUGCUUGAGGGAGGUAGCAGCGAACAAUUUUCAAUGCAUGACGUCGUUCGCGAUGUUGGCAUAUCAAUUGCUUACCGGGACCAACAUGUAUUUUUGGCAAAAAAUGAGGAUGUGUUGGAGCUGCCGGACAAGGAAGCACUUGUAAAUUGCUAUGCGAUUUCUAUAAGUGGUUGCCGUAUUCAGGAGCUUCCUCAAGGAUUGGAAUGCUUGCAACUCGAACUUUUAUAUAUAUCUCCCAAAGACUCUUACCUUCAAAUCAAUAUUCCUGAGAACAUUUUUGCAGGGAUGCGGAAGCUUAGAGUUGUAGAUUUUACUGGGAUGCAAUUAUGUUGCUUGCCAUCUUCAAUUGAUCUCUUAGUAAAUCUUCAAACACUAUGUUUGGAUCAAUGCAUGUUGAGUGACAUAGCAAUUAUUGGAAGGUUGAAGAAUCUGGAAAUCCUUAGCUUUUUAAAUUCAGAUAUUGUGCAGUUGCCUGAAGAACUAGGUGAAUUGACUAAGCUAAGGUUGUUAGAUUUAUCCAAUUGUUUCCAGCUAAAAGCUAUUGCACCCAAUGUCCUAUCAAGCUUAACUCGAUUGGAAGAACUCUACAUGAAAAAUUGCGUUAUCGAAUGGGAUGUUCAAAGACCCAAUGGUGGAAGAAGUACUGCCAGCCUUGGUGAGUUGUUGCAAUUGCCUCGACUGACCACUCUAGAAAUAGAUGUCAAAAAUGAUAGUAUUUUACCAGAAGGCUUUUUUGCAAAAAAAUUAGAAAGGUUCAAAAUAUCAAUAGGAGAUGAGUCAUUCAAGCCUCCGGUGCGUGCGGAUGAAUGGUUCGGUAGUCGGCCGGUUUUGAUCAGUGAUCCUUCGAGUCUAAGAACCAUAAAGCUGAAGCUUAGCUCAAAGCCUAUUUGCUCGAAGAAAAUGCAGGGCAUCCAGAAUGUUGAAUACUUGUGUUUGGACAAGCUGCAAGGUGUCAAGAAUGUUCUUUUAGAUAUGGACAUUGAGGGAUUUCUACAGUUGAAGCAUCUCCAUGUUCAAAAUAAUCCUGACUUCGUGUGCGUUGUUGACUCAACGGAGGGGGUACGUCGUGAUGUGUUUCCUCUUUUGGAGUCACUUACUCUUUACAAUUUGAUUAACAUGGAGAGGGUAUGUAUUGAUCGACUCAAAGUAGAGUCUUUCUGUGAACUUAAAACCAUACAGGUGGGAAAAUGUGAUGAGUUGAGUAAUAUCUUCUUGCUGUCUUCUAUAAGCUGCCUUCCCACACUUGAGAGGAUUGCAGUUUUUGAUUGCGAUAAGAUUGAAGAGGUCUUUGCAAUUGGUGGAGAACCAGAUGUCGACAACAAUAAUGCAGUGGAGAAGAUAGAGUUUGCAGCAGUAAAAUUUUUACAUCUGCAAAAUCUUCCGAAGCUUGCAAGUUUUUGCUCUGAAGUAAAGAGACCAAAUACACAAGGGUCGCAAGAGGAAUUGACAGCUACUACUUGCUCGACCGAAAUCAGUUUGUUGGAGGAGGACAAGCUUGAUACUUCGACACCGCUUUUCAACGAGAAGGUAAGCUGUUAUAAUGAAACCAAAGCAUUCGUUUUUCUUUCUCAACUUAUUCUAUCGUGCAUUUUCGUUUGAUGACAACUAUAGAAAAUGAAUUAUAAGGGAAAAAGAAAAUGAGAAUUGGAAAUUAGAAUCUCACACACUCACUCACUAAGCUCGCUUUACAUAUUAAUGAUGUGAAUUAAAUUGCAUAUUAAGUGUAUGUUUAGUAUGGUAAUAAUUCUCAAAAAAUCAUUUUUAGCACGGAUUUCUAAAAACUAUAUUUGAAAAAAGUUUAACACAAUGUUUUGUAAAUGGGUGAGCUAUUUGCACCUUAAAAAUUACUCUAAACACUCUAAUUGAAAUAAAAAUUUAUAACAAAAAUAUCUAUCAUAUGAAUUAUAUAAAGGACAAUUUAUUAUAAGUCAAUAUUACAUAAUUACUAUGAACGCCCCAUAUAACACACUCAUUAUUUAAUAUAUAUAAUUUUCAUGUUUUAAACCUUAAAACUUUUUUAUUUACAUCUUCAUCAAUACUUAGAUGAAUAAUGAUAAAAUCAAUAUUUUUCUUUUAUUUUUCCAUAAAUAAUCAAUAUCAAACGCGCACUGAAGCUGUCACUUGGAAGAUGAUUUGAUCUAACAAGAAAUUAAUGUUUAGGUUGUGUUCCCCAACUUGGAAGAUUUGGAGUUGAUUGGAAUUAAUGUCGAAAAGAUUUGGCACAAUCAACUUCCAGCCAUGUUUCCUCGCUUUCAAAGUUUAACAAAAUUAAUCGUGGGGAAGUGUCACAAAUUAAAAUGUAUAUUUUCGGCUUCUAUGCUCAGAAGCUUUGAGCACCUCCGACACCUGGAUAUAUGCAACUGUAUGGGUUUGCUUGAGAUUAUUUCCGAAGGAGCAGAUCAAGUGCCACCUUGUUUUAUCUUUCCGCGGCUGACAUUUCUAAGACUAGGUGAACUACCAGAACUUAGAUGUUUAUAUCCUGGAAUGCAUACUUCGGAAUGGCCGGCACUAAACUCGUUGAUGGUCUUUGGUUGUGACAAAAUAAAGUUAUUUGCUUCUGAGUUAUCUAGCUUCCAUGGAAACAUUGAUGAGAAUCAACUUCCUAUCCCAGCACAACAGCCUCUGUUCUUGAUCGAAAAGGUACAUAUGAAACCAUUUAUUUGAUCUUUUAUCGGUUGCAUCUUACUGUUUCUUAUGUUUUAUGUUUGGUUCUUCGAUGCAAAGAAACUCACAAACAAUAGAUUUUAGAAAUACCCGCUGUACAUGUAUGUGUUACUCAAAAUUGUUUGACAGAACAUCAAUUGAACUAAUUAGUUUUUAUGUGAGUUGAUGAUGUUCAGAUCCUCCCCAACUUGGAGAAUCUGCUAUUAAGUGGAAAGGAUUUCAGGAUGAUUUUGCAGGAAGAUUACCCACAACACCUCUUUGGCAGUCUUAAAUACAUUGAGGUUGUGGAAGAUGACUCAGCUUGUUUUCCGCUUGGUUUACUUGAGAAGUUUCGCAAUCUGGAAAUCCUCUAUCUGAGUGGUACUUCAUACACAGAGAUAUUAUCAAAUGAAGGACACUCGGAGAAGCACGUGGGCAAGUUCUCACAAGUAAAACAUUUACAGCCGUACAAACUGACUGAUCUGAAGCAGCUGUGGAAACAAGGCUCCAAACUAGACUUCAUUUUCACAAAUCUUGAAAUUCUACGAGUAUAUUGUUGUCAAAAUCUGAUUGUUCUAUUGCCAUCGUCAUCGUUAUCUUUCCGAAAUCUGACGGAUCUGCAAGUUUGGGGUUGCAAGGAAUUGAUGAAGUUGGUAACAUCCUCCACAGCAAAGAGUCUAGUGCGACUCAGGAUAAUGAAGGUAUGUGGAAGCAGAGCAAUGACACAAGUGGUAACAAGUGAGAAAGAUGGAGCAGAAGAUGAAAUUGUUUUCAGCAAUUUGAAGGCGUUGACUCUGCUUGAUUUAGAUAGUCUCACAAGUUUCUGCUCUGGCAAUCACACCUUCAAAUUCCCAUCUUUACGAGAUUUAGAAGUGAUUGGUUGUCCCAAGAUGAAGAUUUUCACCACAGGAGAAUUAUGUACACCGCCGAGAGUAAACGUGUGGUAUGGAGAGGGAGAUGGUGAAUGUCGUUGGGCUAAUGACCUUAACGUUACGAUACAAGAGUUACAUGCUGAAAAGGUACGGUUAACCCACCAACUUAACCCCCAAGGAAUUUUUUUUCAAAAUUUGCAGUUUUUUGCAAAAUUCAGAAAAUAGAUCAUCGACAACUAGAAUAUUUGUUAUUGAUUAAGCGCAUGAUCAGGUUUUAAAAAGUAUGAGACACUUUUGUACUUAAUUCUUGAAAUUGUCCAAUUUAAAACGGACAUUUUGCCAAAAGUUUGGGAAUCUUUUUCAAUUAUCAAAAAUUCAUGAAUCAUUAGUUUUAACUUCAUAAUAUAAAAGUCUUGUCAAAUUAAUGAAUGAGAAUUUUGUUUUCA